GACGAACGCUGGCGGCGUGCUUAACACAUGCAAGUCGAACGGACAGGCCCUGCUUUUGUGGGGUGCUCGAGUGGCGAACGGGUGAGUAACACGUGAGUAACCUGCCCUUGACUUUGGGAUAACUUCAGGAAACUGGGGCUAAUACCGGAUAGGAUCUCCUGCUGCAUGGUGGUGGUUGGAAAGUUUCGGCGGUUGGGGAUCGACUCGCGGCUUAUCAGCUUGUUGGUGGGGUAGUGGCUUUCCAAGGCUUUGACGGGUAGCCGGCCUGUGAGGGUGACCGGCCACAAUGGGACGGAGAUAGGGCACAGAGUGCAACGGGAGGAAGCAGAGGGGAAUAGUGCACAAUGGGCGGAAGCAGGAUGAAGAAACGCCGCGUGCGGGAGGACGGCCGUCGGGGAGGAAAAAGAAUUGGACGGAGAGGAAGCGAGAGUGACGGUAAUGGGUAAAGAAGCAACGGCUAACUACGUG
This 468-nucleotide ribosomal RNA is filed under the name uncultured bacterium. RNAcentral describes it as "partial 16S ribosomal RNA". It matches the Rfam family "Bacterial small subunit ribosomal RNA", at positions 28 to 507 of the family's 1533-position model. The record is from RNAcentral.